This 440-nucleotide ribosomal RNA is filed under the name uncultured bacterium. RNAcentral's name for it is "partial 16S ribosomal RNA". It matches the Rfam family "Bacterial small subunit ribosomal RNA", at positions 338 to 795 of the family's 1533-position model. The record is from RNAcentral.
CCUACGGGGGGCAGCAGUGGGGAAUAUUGCACAAUGGGGGAAACCCUGACGCAGCGACGCCGCGUGAGUGAUGAAGUACUUCGUUACGUAAAGCUCUAUCAGCAGGGAAGAAAAUGACCGUACCUGAGUAACACGCCCCGGCUAACUCCGUGACAGCAGCCGCGGUAAUACGGAGGGGGAAAGCGUUAUCCGGAUUUACUGGGUGUAAAGGGAGCGUAGACGGCAGUGCAAGUCGGGAGUGAAAGGCGGGGGCUCAACCCCCGGACUGCACUGGAAACUGUACGGCUGGAGUGCAGGAGAGGUAAGUGGAAUUCCUAGUGUAGCAGUGAAAUGCGUAGAUAUUGGGAGGAACACCAGUGGCGAAGGCGGGUUACUGGACUGUAACUGACGUUGAGGCUCGAAGGCGAGGGGAGCAAACAGGAUUAGAUACCCGAGUAGUC